GAUCUCCUACGGGAGGCAGCAGUGGGGAAUCCUGGACAAUGGGCGCAAGCCUGAUCCAGCCAAGCCGCGUGAGUGAUGAAGGCCUUAGGGUCGUAAAGCUCUUUCGCCAGAGAUGAUAAUGACAGUAUCUGGUAAAGAAACCCCGGCUAACUCCGUGCCAGCAGCCGCGGUAAUACGGAGGGGGUUAGCGUUGUUCGGAAUUACUGGGCGUAAAGCGCACGUAGGCGGAUUGGAAAGUAUGGGGUGAAAUCCCAGGACUCAACCCUGGAACUGCCUUGUAAACUCCCAGUCUAGAGUUCGAGAGAGGUGAGUGGAAUUCCAAGUGUAGAGGUGAAAUUCGUAGAUAUUUGGAGGAACACCAGUGGCGAAGGCGGCA
This 376-nucleotide ribosomal RNA is filed under the name uncultured Alphaproteobacteria bacterium. RNAcentral describes it as "bacterial SSU rRNA". It matches the Rfam family "Bacterial small subunit ribosomal RNA", at positions 333 to 726 of the family's 1533-position model. The record is from RNAcentral. Lineage: Bacteria; Pseudomonadati; Pseudomonadota; Alphaproteobacteria.